Molecule: ribosomal RNA, 628 nt
Filed under: uncultured bacterium
Lineage: Bacteria
Description: bacterial SSU rRNA
Rfam family: Bacterial small subunit ribosomal RNA
Source: RNAcentral
CCCAGACCUGCAUUCGAUACGGGCGAGCUAGAGUGUGGUAGGGGAGACUGGAAUUCCUGGUGUAGCGGUGGAAUGCGCAGAUAUCAGGAGGAACACCAAUGGCGAAGGCAGGUCUCUGGGCCAUUACUGACACUGAGGAGCGAAAGCGUGGGGAGCGAACAGGAUUAGAUACCCUGGUAGUCCACGCCGUAAACGGUGGGCACUAGUUGUGGGAACCUUCCACGGUUUCUGCGACGCAGCUAACACAUUAAGUGCCCCGCCUGGGGAGUACGAUCGCAAGAUUAAAACUCAAAGGAAUUGACGGGGCCCCGCACAAGCAGCGGAGCAUGCGGCUUAAUUCGACGCAACGCGAAGAACCUUACCAAGGCUUGACAUAUACAGGAAUAUGGCAGAAAUUCCAUAGCCGCAAGGUCUGUAUACAGGUGGUGCAUGGUUGUCGUCAGCUCGUGUCGUGAGAUGUUGGGUUAAGUCCCGCAACGAGCGCAACCCUCGUUCUGUGUUGCCAGCAUUUAGUUGGGGACUCACAGGAGACUGCCGGGGUUAACUCGGAGGAAGGUGGGGAUGACGUCAAAUCAUCAUGCCCCUUAUGUCUUGGGCUGCACGCAUGCUACAAAUGGCUGGUACAAAC